AACCUGCGGAAAUCAGGCCUCUGGCAGCAGAAGAGCCCCAAACACCUAGAAACACGAGGAUUAAUAGUUAAUAACGGCGCCGUAACUGGGGACGGCUUCAAAGCUCCUUCUCGUUAGCGUCAAACUUCGCUACCUGCGAGCCGCGGCCAACCGGAGGACUCAGGUGACCCUGCCAAAAAACACGCGCCCUUGAGGGAGAGAACGAGGGAGAGAGGAGGAGGAGAGGAACCUACUUUAAUCCACUUUCCCUCUGAUGCCACUUUCUGCUGUCCCACAUUGAGACGUGAAGGAGAGCGUGCGCGAGCGACCAGACCGGCGCCGUCUCUUUGUGCGCGCUCCAACUUGGCACAUCGGCGAUAUAAAGGGGGACAAACACACGCAUGCUGAUCUUUGUCAUGGCGACUGGAAAGAGGAUUUCCACAGAGUGGAGGAUUAAACAAACACACGCUCCUCUGAC
Molecule: long non-coding RNA, 457 nt
Organism: Sinocyclocheilus grahami
Lineage: Eukaryota; Metazoa; Chordata; Actinopteri; Cypriniformes; Cyprinidae
Exons: 3
Source: RefSeq, a predicted model, not a curated record